AAAGCGAGAAAUGAUGGGAUUUUUAACAAUAUAACAAAAGGAGUGGAAGAGACUGGUAGAUUUUUUCAAUUGUUGUAUCUGCUGUGAGCUGCUGUUUGUCUUUGUGAGGCUGUGCGGCUGAUGUGUUUGCUGUUCAGCUUUUGCACCUAGCCUGCUCGGGCUUCUGGUUGCUGUCUGGUUUUUGGGAGGUGUAGAUAGUAGCAGUCUGUUUGCUGUUGUUUUUACAGUUCUGUGGUGUGGUUGUUAGUUCAGGGGACCAGGCUUUUGUGAGCUUUCUGUCAUGUGCUUUGCUAGAGGUCUGGUUGAGGUUUUUAGGGGUGUGUUUUUUCCGCCUAUAUACGGAAACCCCCGAUUUGGUUCUUUUGUAUUUCGAUUUUCCUUAUUUCGUGCGGGUUAAGCUUUAAUAAUAUUUGUUAAUUUAAAAAAAUAUGUAAUUUGGGGAAGAUUUGGCAAUCAAUCCUGAUGUUGGUGCGAAGAUUUGGUGUUUAUUUGUAUUUUGCAGUUUUGUAAAGGGAGCGGAUCCUCUCAGUGGAAUUUUUACUCGAGUGUCCAGUGCACAUCCUUAUCUUUAAGUUCUCCCAAAUCCACAUGCGGUAUUAAAUAUGGAUGGUUGAGAUUCCACUGCACACACAUUACACGGGAGAGGAUCCCUACCCGUAUUUUGAAGAGGCAAGCUGGUGAACUUUAUCUGCAGUUUUGAUUUUGAGACUAAGCUAAGUAGUCUCUCAAUUAAGUUGGACGGUGAUUUUGUAGACAAUUAAGUCCUUAUAACAAAACUGAAUAUAUUAACACCAAGGACUUAUCAAUUAUGAGAAGACAAUAUAUUCAUAUAGAAUGACAAUAACUUAUAACAUCCAACUAUCCAAGGACUUUAACGAUAGUCAUCUGUAGGCACACUUAGAAUAAAUUACUGUACCAAAUUACUUAGGAAUGAUUGUGACACAUUAUGUCACAUUUAGUGGAUUAAAAUGAGUGUUUACUCGAGAACUGUCACAAUGGUUAGUAAGCUCGUGAUGUUGAGCACCUUAAGAAUUAGUACGAGUGUAGAUGCAAAUAAUAUGUAUACAAUAAAAGAAGCAUUAACUUUUUUUUUGUGUGAAUACUCCGUAAAGAUUUGUUAUUUGAACAAUCAUUUAUAUGAUAAUUUAUGAGACAACUAUAAAUUUAUAAAAAAAAAAAAAUGUAAGCAUAUCAGCACAUAAAUCAAAAUUAUAGAGAGAGAAAGAAAAAAAAAGUAAAACAUAAUGUGAGUAUAUGAGAGAAAAUUGUCACAAAAAUUGUUAUAAAAUGGUUGUACAAAUAUCAAUUCUCUACUCCAUAUGCUCUAAAUUAUAAAUCACUUUGAGAAAUAGAUUUGUCAUAAGUUGUACAUUUGUUAUAAAAUGUUUGUAUAAAUAUCAUUUAUAUGUAUAAGUAGGAUAUGGCAACCACCCCCCAGGAAAAAUCAUACACCGUCUUCAGAUCUCAAAAGGACUCGAAGUAUGUCACAUCAACAUAUGUGACGCUCUUGUCUGGGAAAAUGAUGGUGCCCACCACAAUCAAUUCAACUAUCUCUCGACCUCACCACAAUCUUCAUCGCUAUCUUAUGUUGCCUCGAAAUUCUUCUUGAGCACACACAACAGUAAGAUGAAGCAUGCACGAGUCCCGUACGUCGUCACCACUUAUCGAUCAAUGUUAUCCGAGUCAACACCAAUUAGAUCCACCAUUAGUUCAUUCGCAUCAUGCGUUUGCUGUUCAGCUUUUGCACCUAGCCUGCUCGGGCUUCUGGUUGCUGUCUGGUUUUUGGGAGGUGUAGAUAGUAGCAGUCUGUUUGCUGUUGUUUUUGCAGUUCUGUGGUGUGGUUGUUAGUUAAGGGGACCAGGCUUUUGUGAGCUUUCUGUCAUGUGCUCUGCUAGAGGUCUGGUUGAGGUUUUUAAGGGUGUGUUUUUUCCGCCUAUAUACGGAAACCCCUGAUUUGGUUCUUUUGUAUUUUGAUUUUCCUUAUUUCGUGCGGGUUAAGCUAUGAUAAUAUUUGCUGAUUUAAAAAAAAAUGUAAUUUGUGGAAGACUAACGUAUUUCAUGCGG
Molecule: long non-coding RNA, 2064 nt
Filed under: Medicago truncatula (barrel medic)
Lineage: Eukaryota; Viridiplantae; Streptophyta; Magnoliopsida; Fabales; Fabaceae
Description: long non-coding RNA (MTRU_LNC008254)
Source: RNAcentral